AAUAAUCGUGUUAAAUUUGACGACCCAUACCCAUUUUAUUUAUGUCGUGUUCGUGUCGGGUAAUCGGAUCGUGUCAAAUUUUGCCAGCUCUAUUUGUAUUAAUUAAUGGACCUGUCUAUGGUACAGUUUCUGUAACAAACAUCUCCCGUCAUCCCACCAUCCGAUUUUCUAUUGUUUAGUUUCUCACUCCACAUCCAACCACAUCCAACGGCUGAUGCU
RNAcentral lists this long non-coding RNA (219 nucleotides) under Citrus maxima (pomelo). RNAcentral's name for it is "long non-coding RNA (CMAX_LNC000333)". Lineage: Eukaryota; Viridiplantae; Streptophyta; Magnoliopsida; Sapindales; Rutaceae. The record is from RNAcentral.